This 69-nucleotide transfer RNA is filed under the name Ateuchosaurus chinensis (Chinese short-limbed skink). RNAcentral's name for it is "tRNA-Ala". It matches the Rfam family "tRNA". Rfam says of the family: Transfer RNA (tRNA) molecules are approximately 80 nucleotides in length. The record is from RNAcentral. Lineage: Eukaryota; Metazoa; Chordata; Lepidosauria; Squamata; Scincidae.
AAGGUUUUAGCUUAAUAAAAGUGUUUGAUUUGCAGUCAAGAGAUGUGAAGUAGAAAUUUGCAGGCCUUA